Molecule: ribosomal RNA, 198 nt
Filed under: uncultured bacterium
Lineage: Bacteria
Description: partial 16S ribosomal RNA
Rfam family: Bacterial small subunit ribosomal RNA
Source: RNAcentral
ACGCUCGACACCUACGGGAUGCAGCAGUGGGGAAUAUUGCACAAUGGGGGAAACCCUGAUGCAGCGACGCCGCGUGAGCGAAGAAGUAUUUCGGUAUGUAAAGCUCUAUCAGCAGGGAAGAAACUGACGGUACCUGACUAAGAAGCACCGGCUAAAUACGUACCAGCAGCCGCGGUAAUCUGAGCGGGCUGGCAAGGC